CUGCCUGUAAGACUGGGAUAACUUCGGGAAACCGGAGCUAAUACCGGAUAAUGCAUUUCCCCUCAUGGGGAUAUGCUGAAAGAUGGUUUCGGCUAUCACUUACAGAUGGGCCCGCGGCGCAUUAGCUAGUUGGUGAGGUAACGGCUCACCAAGGCAACGAUGCGUAGCCGACCUGAGAGGGUGAUCGGCCACACUGGGACUGAGACACGGCCCAGACUCCUACGGGAGGCAGCAGUGGUCA
RNAcentral lists this ribosomal RNA (241 nucleotides) under Bacillus sp. 460A_12D. Its description in RNAcentral is "partial 16S ribosomal RNA". It matches the Rfam family "Bacterial small subunit ribosomal RNA", at positions 126 to 357 of the family's 1533-position model. Lineage: Bacteria; Bacillati; Bacillota; Bacilli; Caryophanales; Bacillaceae. The record is from RNAcentral.